Molecule: unclassified non-coding RNA, 342 nt
Filed under: uncultured fungus
Lineage: Eukaryota; Fungi
Description: sequence contains ITS1
Rfam family: 5.8S ribosomal RNA (bases 1-104)
Source: RNAcentral
AAAUGCGAUAACUAGUGUGAAUUGCAUACCUUCGUGAAUCAUCGAGUCUUUGAACGCAACUUGCACUCUUUGGUCCUCCAAAGAGUAUACCUGUUUGAGUAUUUCUAUAUUUCUUUUUGGUGCAUCGUCAGAUAUCGCCAAAAGUAGUGAGGCACUAGCGACAGCUACGCCUUUAAAGACGUGCGUUUUUCGCAGCAGAAUCCGAAAGUGUGUUGGUAAGCCUUGGCUUAACGCGCACUGAAUGGCCGACGCUGCGCAAAAAGGACGCAUCUAGAUACGCCUUGCCGUGGCAAGCGCCGAAUACGAAAUCUCAAAUCAGGCAAGACUACCCGCUGAACUUAA